UCAGACGGAUGCGUCAUGCAUAUCAAUAAGCGGAGGAAAAGAAACUAACAAGGAUUCCCUUAGUAACGGCGAGUGAAGCGGGAAGAGCUCAAAUUUGAAAUCUUCAAGGUUUUACCUUGACGAAUUGUAGUUUAAAGAAGUGUUUUCUGCUGAAGUUUUGGUAAAAGUUCUUUGGAAUAGGACAUCAUAGAGGGUGAGAAUCCCGUAUUUGACCAUUAUUUUCAGCUUUGUGAUACACUUUCAAAGAGUCGGAUUGUUUGGGAAUGCAGUCCAAAAUGGGUGGUAAAUUUCAUCUAAAGCUAAAUAUUGGCGAGAGACCGAUAGCGAACAAGUACCGUGAGGGAAAGAUGAAAAGAACUUUGAAAAGAGAGUUAAACAGUACGUGAAAUUGUCAAAAGGGAAGCGUUUGACACCAGUGUUGUUUUCUCGAAAAUCAAUUAAAAAUGGCUCGAUUUUGUAUUGUUUGAGACCUUAAAAGCUCACUGUACAUUUUUCGUGUCUUUUUUAAUGCACUUUUCGUUUAACAAGUCAACAUCAGUUUCUUUUGUUGUAAAAGGGUCAUUGGAAGGUGGCUUUCUUUUCGGAGAAAGUGUUUAUAGCCUUUGGCCUCUGCAAUCGGAGAGACUGAGGUCUGCAGCGUAGACUCUUCGGGGUUAGAUACAUUUGUGCUAAGUUAUAGCUUUUUAUAGACAACUUGUUGACUAUAAUUAGUCUUGUAGCUUACUCGCUUAUGCUAUUUUACCUACGCUUAGGAUGUUGACUGAUAUGUAGUCGUA
RNAcentral lists this ribosomal RNA (776 nucleotides) under uncultured Neocallimastigales. RNAcentral's name for it is "partial large subunit ribosomal RNA". It matches the Rfam family "Eukaryotic large subunit ribosomal RNA", at positions 23 to 644 of the family's 3401-position model. The record is from RNAcentral. Lineage: Eukaryota; Fungi; Neocallimastigomycota; Neocallimastigomycetes; Neocallimastigales.